UGUGUGCGCGUUUGGUUUGGCUGGCCGUGCUUGGUGUUGGGGUCUGGUAGCUACAGGCUAUGUAUUCAUUUGUGUGUGAUUCACUGUGGCUUUCUGGCUGGCGAUCUAGACUGUUACCCAGAGAUUCCUGAAGGUUUCAAAGCACCCAGAGGGACCAUUCGCAAGUGUUCCUUUUUUGAGAGCUAUUUAACCAUCACUUGUCAAUUGGCGUCAGCUGUUUGUUGAAGUGGGCGGAUUCUUUGGGUCAUGAAGUCUUAGGUGACCGUUCAUAAGCUGGAUCCUCAAAUCUUCAGUAUGUAUGACACAUCAGGCAGUAUCCCUACCCUCGGUGAGUUAUUUAUUUUCUUUCUUUUUCUUUUUUGAAGCAGCCAGCAGGGACCCAGGGCUAGUUAAGCAAGUCUUGCUUCCUAACCAGGAAGCCAGGGCUCCAGCGAAAGAAUCUCCUCUGCAGGAACCUGCUGCUCUGGAGAUGGGCCUGAGGUCUCACACAGAGGCGCCACGUUGGAGAAGAAACACCAACUCCACGGAGAAAGGCUGUGACGGGGCCUCUUCAUCAGGAUCCAGGUCUUCUGCUUUGAAAUCCAAAUUUUAGAAAACUUAAGAUAAAUCAACAGAGAAGAACAACAGAUCAACUUGGGGCUAAUAUCAGUAGCUGGGAAGACCAAUUAACAAAUUCCUGCAUUGUGCUGUUUACACUCCUAUUCCUGAGGUUAAUUAUGCGAUCAAGUAAUAGCUUUUGUCUUUGAUUACGGGGCCCUCAGGAAAUAAAAGUGUGUUUCCACUUUACAAGUGUGUUUGCAUUUCGGUCCUGUGUUGGUAGCAGGUACUGGGCUCAGCAAAUAUUGCCUUACACACGGUUAUCAUCAAAGGAGAGGGUCUUAAUUUUAAGAGCUUGGAGACUAGCUGAGUAAACAGAAGCAUAAUUUGAACAAGUGCUAACACCCACCUAUACAUCUCUCUCCCUGCUCUGGGCUACUGUUGGUUCUUUCCAGGUGCUGUGGCCUGGAAAAUGCCCAGUGGCAGGCUCUCUCCCAUGAUUUCCUAUUGGG
Long non-coding RNA from Pipistrellus kuhlii (Kuhl's pipistrelle), 1049 nucleotides. RefSeq lists it as uncharacterized. The transcript is spliced from 2 exons. Lineage: Eukaryota; Metazoa; Chordata; Mammalia; Chiroptera; Vespertilionidae. The record is from RefSeq and is a predicted model, not a curated record.